UUUUCAUGUAUUCCAUGCUAUUAAUACAAUGCAGAUUUGUUGCUACAGUUUGGUCAUAGAGAUGGCUAUAUCUAGAUUUUUCCUUUUUUUUUUCACCCUUUGAGACAAGCAACUUAUGUACAUCAAAUUGAUAGCAAAUAAGGUACCAGCUACUACAAAGUGCUGGCCCAUGAACUAUAUCCAUAUAAGCAAAAAGAAGGGGAAAAAAAAAGGUGAAAAUCUAGAUAUAGCCAUCUCUAUGACCAAACUGUAGCAACAAAUCUGC
This 265-nucleotide unclassified non-coding RNA is filed under the name Hevea brasiliensis (rubber tree). Lineage: Eukaryota; Viridiplantae; Streptophyta; Magnoliopsida; Malpighiales; Euphorbiaceae. The record is from RNAcentral.